This 72-nucleotide transfer RNA is filed under the name Desmophyllum pertusum. RNAcentral describes it as "Lophelia pertusa tRNA". It matches the Rfam family "tRNA". Rfam says of the family: Transfer RNA (tRNA) molecules are approximately 80 nucleotides in length. Their secondary structure includes four short double-helical elements and three loops (D, anti-codon, and T loops). The record is from Rfam by way of RNAcentral. Lineage: Eukaryota; Metazoa; Cnidaria; Anthozoa; Scleractinia; Caryophylliidae.
GGGGGAUUAGCUCAAUUGUAGAGCGCCCGCUUAGCGUGCGGGAGGUACCGGGAUCGAUACCCGGAUUCUCCA